UCAGUAGAAAGACAGUACCUCGCCU
RNAcentral lists this microRNA (25 nucleotides) under Bovine foamy virus. RNAcentral's name for it is "bfv-miR-BF2-5p". Its record names the gene bfv-miR-BF2-5p. Lineage: Riboviria; Pararnavirae; Artverviricota; Revtraviricetes; Ortervirales; Retroviridae. The record is from miRBase by way of RNAcentral.